This 452-nucleotide ribosomal RNA is filed under the name uncultured bacterium. Its description in RNAcentral is "bacterial SSU rRNA". It matches the Rfam family "Bacterial small subunit ribosomal RNA", at positions 29 to 524 of the family's 1533-position model. The record is from RNAcentral.
AACGAACGCUGGCGGCAGGCUUAACACAUGCAAGUCGAACGCUCGUAGCAAUACGGGAGUGGCGGACGGGUGAGUAACGCGUGGGAACGUGCCCUGAGGUACGGAAUAACUGAGGGAAACUUCAGCUAAUACCGUAUGAGCCCCGAGAGGGGGAAAGAUUUAUCGCCUUGGGAGCGGCCCGCGUCGGAUUAGCUAGUUGGUGGGGUAACGGCCUACCAAGGCUUCGAUCCGUAGCCGGUCUGAGAGGACGAUCAGCCACACUGGGACUGAGACACGGCCCAGACUCCUACGGGAGGCAGCAGUGGGGAAUCUUGCGCAAUGGGGGCAACCCUGACGCAGCCAUGCCGCGUGAACGAUGAAGGCCUUAGGGUUGUAAAGUUCUUUUACCCGUGACGAUGAUGACGGUAACGGGGAAUAAGCUCCGGCUAACUCGUGCCAGCAGCCGCGGUAAU